GUGCCAGCAGCCGCGGUAAAACGUAGGUCCCGAGCGUUGUUCGGAUUCACUGGGGGUAAAGGGCGCGUAGGUGGUUGUCUGGGUCUCAUGUGAAAACUCAGGGCUCAACUCUGAGAUUGCGUGGGAAACUAGGCAGCUAGAGGACGGUAGAGGGGAGUGGAAUCCCCGGUGUAGCGGUAAAAUGCGUAGAUACCGGGAGGAACACCGGUGGCGAAGGCGGCUCUCUGGGCCGAUCCUGACGCUGAGGCGCGAAAGCUAGGGGAGCGAACCGGAUUAGAUACCCGGGUAGUCCUAGCCGUAAACGAUGGGUGCUAGGUGUUGGGGGGUAAAGACCCUUCAGUGCCGAAGCUAACGCGAUAAGCAUCCCACCUGGGGUGUACGGCCGCAAGGCUAAACCUCAAAGGAAUUGGCGG
Molecule: ribosomal RNA, 413 nt
Filed under: uncultured bacterium
Lineage: Bacteria
Description: bacterial SSU rRNA
Rfam family: Bacterial small subunit ribosomal RNA
Source: RNAcentral